Molecule: long non-coding RNA, 4133 nt
Organism: Polypterus senegalus (gray bichir)
Lineage: Eukaryota; Metazoa; Chordata; Cladistia; Polypteriformes; Polypteridae
Exons: 3
Source: RefSeq, a predicted model, not a curated record
GCGGCCCUCCAGGACUGGGAUUGAGUACCCCUGCCCUAUAGUGACCUUACUUUCUGUGUUUGCUUCUUCAAAUGUGUGUGGUGGUGUGAAGAAGCAAGCUGGAAGUCUGAGCCUGUUGUGCUCCUCUUAAGAGGAGUCGUCAAAGGACAUGUGGGAUAUAUCGGAGGGCUGAUAGUAAUGGGGUGGAAUGAUCUCUAGGCCAUUCACUGAAGGCCGAGUUGAAGCUUUUGGCUCUUUACAUGCUGGAGGCACAAAAUGGUAAGAAAUAAAAAGUCAAGAAUUGUAAAUCUGCUUGUGCAGCCUGUAGCCGUUACUGGCCUCCAUUUUUAAUUUUUUAGUCUGCUGAAUCUAAUAUAGUUUGUGGUACAGGCUGGUGUGGAAAUGACGUACAGGAAAAGGAUGCUGGGAUGUGAACAGGUGACCUUGUGGAGGAAACGAGCGCCACUGCCCAUCGCUGAAAGCCACCUCAAGAAAACUAGCCUAAGAUGACGGAGAGGGGAAUCCCACCACUUGUGUUACACCACUGAGGGAAGAGGAUUAAGUGCAGGCAUCCCAGAAUACCACACUUGUGGCUGUGUUAAGGUAAGUCAAGAUGGUAACUGUGGUGCCACUGCUGGUGACGGCUCUUACAGAAUGAGACCCUGAUGCUGUGGCGCCCCCUGCUGGAGCAGUCUGACCGAUCUAUGUGAUGAAAUGUAAUUUCAAGGCUUGGCUGCUAACAUUCUCUGUGUAUUACAGAACUCUUACUUUCUAUUCAUAUGUGCAUGGUGUAUAUAUCAUUUUAUUUCCUCGUUUGUGUGUCCCUUACUUUUCAUCCAGUCAUUAGCUCUGUAAUUUGUCUUUAUUUACAGAUUCCAGUCCCAUGUUUCCUCCUCGCUCUUCACACUUCUCAGUCCCGGAGUUAUUCUAGUCAAUCAUGUCUGACCUUCUCGAGUGCGGUGAAGUUCUCCUUGUAAUGUGAUGACUAAAUCUGGAUGUGUUCCUUCCUUGCCUACCUUUAAAAUGUUUUGAGUAAUUUACCUUUUUUAAAUAUAAAUACCAUCUUAUAAUAAGACAUUUUAAAAUAUAUGUAUCAUAAAAAAAUGGGUAAAUAUUGUAUUGCCUGCUAUUUAUACUUUUCUUUUCUUUUGGUCCGCCUUUGUGAUUUUUGUUGCCGUUUUUAUAGCUUUGCUGUUUGGAGGCGAGAUACAGGCUAGAAUUUCACUGCACUGAGUUGGGUCACAAACUCCAAUGCUAAAGUCGAAUGAAUGGAUGGACAUGUGGAGAAGGUUUCAUGAGGAAAGUGGAUUUGGGUUUCUGCUGAAUGGGACGAGGUUCGAUGUUUACUGUAAGAACAUCAUUGGGCUGCAGUGUAGAGACGCUGGUAAGAUAUAAGAUCUACUCUGUGUCUGUCACCAUACUCCUCAUAUGGCCACCCAUCAGCUUCUUGAGCUUUGUUUUGCUCCUCAAUAGAAAUUCCAGGGAACAGAUCAGGACUUUCUGAUGACUUACCAUAAAUGGCACCAAGUGGCCUGACUGUAAGCUGUGCCACACUUCAGCAGUUCACGGCUCAAGCAAACACAUUGGUCUCCUUGAGAUGGCUGCCUUGAGCCCACCACACUUUAAUUCUCCUAAAGCAGCAGUGGCGCACACGCUUCAUUCUUGAGAGGAGUGCCAACUCUAUAUUUGAGACACAAGGAUGACUGUCUAACCCCUGGUGCCAUUUCAAUGGAGGCCUGAAUCCAUCCAUGGGGCUGGGUCAACCCAUCUAGUGAUUCCAGAUGAUUUCUUGUCUUCCUGAGACCUGACAAGAUGAGUUUGUCUGCUGAGCAAUAUGCCCAGGGUAACACUCUCCAUCCACCCCUUCCCCUACCAAAUGCAGACACUGUUGAGUGGCACCAGUAUGGGACUGUGGAGUCAGUCCUUUCAGCCGCUGGAGGUACAGCAGACCUCCUUUUAACUACAGUGGGCUGCUCACUGGCUUAUCCAUGGCCUGCCUACAUGAAAUGGAACAACUUGUUUCUGAAGUAAAACUUUGCUAUGAACCCCCUAUUGGAAUGCGUUUGCAUUUUCGGGCAUCUGGAUAACAAAAUUCACCUUCCUAGUGGGCUCACUUCAAUAUGGCACUGCUCACUCCAUUGGGUUUGUUGCCUCUUGUUGUUUCUUGACAUUACAAGUUCAGGCUUUAUGUGCCAAGUCCGGAUUUGAUGUGCAACGCGUCCCCCUCAGAGACGGUGUGCGGACAGGUGUCAGCCCGGUGUCACCUUUCACUUAUUCAUGGAGACUGUGUAGUGUAGAUUUCUCCCAUAUUAUGCUUUUUGUUCACUUUGUUAUACUCCCAAGUUUGUAAAGCAUUUAUUGGCACAAAUGGCCUGUUAAAACUGCGAAAUGAGAGCUGCACUCACCACCUGCAUUCCUGACUGAAUGGCAUAACUGCAGCUUGAGGCAACAAUCAGCUCUGUAAUAAAUCAGAUGAAGGGGUAAAUCGGAGGUGGCCCGACGUCACUGCAGUGUCACUUGCAGACAGAAAGGCGUCCCGACGGAUAUUCAUUUCAGGCCUGUAAACGCAAAUUGAAGGCUGGCUGGAUCCUUCCUAAACAAGCUGCAUUCAUCUCUUCUCUUUGAAACAUGACAAUCCACACUUGAAGUCACAGACCACCACUGUCAGUGAAGCAAAACUGUCCCUGCCGUUCUUUGGCCUGAAAGCUGCUCUCCCUGCACUGGUUCAUAGGUCCACUCUACCAUGAAGCCACUUCUGUACCAGAAACCGCUAUGCUUUCCUCUAGGAAGCUGCAGAGGGCACAGUAAAUUGAGGAAGGCAACAUCACAGCCCACCCAGACCAAAGACCCACCUGGCACUGAGAGUGAGCGCUCUGACACAAGCCAUGUCCUCUACCUGAACUCCACUCCACGCAGCCCUGGCCAUUGUCCUUAAAGCCUUGUGAAGAUAAACUGUUUUGUGAUGUCACCGUAAGUUCAGACAGGAGAGGCUGCCUGUUUAGAGCUCUAACAUGUUAGCCUGUCUCCUCUGGCUUGUGUCCCAUCUUCUGUGUUUAUAUGUAUGCACUCCUAUUUCUAUCAGCCUUGUUUUUAUCAGGAACCUUGGUAAGAGUCUAACGCUUGGAAACCCCUCUGAGAGAGAAUGGUAAGUAAGACCCUGUCCAGAUGAUUUAAUUACCAGCACUGCCAAAUGUAAGACUACUGAUUAACAGCAUCGGUCACUCUGAAGCUGACCUGAUGGAUUCUAGUGAACACGACACAUGAUACAGUGGGGUGUGCCUGUAGACCGGCUCACAGCACUUCUGUUGUUAUGAUCAGCGCUACGAGGGGACGGGGACUGGUCAGUUUCUGUUUUUGCUGCUGCUUGAAAACCCCAUCACCUGAUUUACCCUUUUUUUGUUUCUGUUUUGGGUGCCUUUAUUUUAACUCGUGUCCCUGCAGAAAGUCUGCCCAGGUCGCUGAAAAAAAAACGAACGGGCAGCGGCGGGGCUAGCAGCCCAACACCUCGUUAAUGUGACACUAACAGUCUUCAACGGCCGUUACACUGCGGAAAUAACUGAAGGCCUGAGGAGCUGCACACAAGCACAUUGAAGAAUAGCUUUGGACACAAAGGAGAGCACCAUGAGUGACAACGGCACUGACCACUGCCUGCUAAGCUGCUCCAGUACAAAAGUGUUUCUAAAACAGUGCUGCUGUGGCCAAAAUCAUCCUAAUGCCAUCUCAACUUGUUCAAAACUAAGCCUGUAGAUCUUUGGAGAAGUUAACAAAAUGCAUACAGACACGGACGACAAACUGGCAGGGUUAAAAACAAGCAGCCUCAUUCAUGAACUGCACUAUUACCCCCAAGGCACCGAACGUUAAACCAGCGCUCUGCCUCACUGCAUGACCAACAAACGUCCCAUCAGCUGCCCAAAAAGGUAAGUGAAACCAAAUUUGUUGUUUGAAAUAAACUUGGGUUCAGGGCACUUGAGUCUGAAUGAAGUUUCUUGCUGCUUCAGAGUCAGAGGUGUAACACAAAUUCAUCCACACAACAUAAAUCUUGAUGUUUAACUGUCAAGUAAUCAAUACACACCUCUAAUCAAAUCAAAAGAUUAUUCCUUCCAUUUUAUAAAAACACUGUCUGACCUCAAGUUUUACCCAAGUGUCUGUGAAAC